RNAcentral lists this unclassified non-coding RNA (171 nucleotides) under uncultured Hyaloscyphaceae. RNAcentral's name for it is "sequence contains ITS1". The record is from RNAcentral. Lineage: Eukaryota; Fungi; Ascomycota; Leotiomycetes; Helotiales.
CAGAGUUCAUGCCCCCUACACGGGUAGAUCUCCCACCCUUUGUUAUCAUUACCUUCGUUGCUUUGGCGGGCCGCCAGGCCUCGGUCAGGCUACCGGCUCCAGCUGGUAAGCGCCCGCCAGAGGACCCCAAACUCUGAAUUACAGUGUCGUCUGAGUACUAUAUAAUAGUUA